Labrus mixtus (cuckoo wrasse) is the source of this 1176-nucleotide long non-coding RNA. RefSeq lists it as uncharacterized. The record is from RefSeq and is a predicted model, not a curated record. Lineage: Eukaryota; Metazoa; Chordata; Actinopteri; Labriformes; Labridae. The transcript is spliced from 2 exons.
GUAGUUUUUGUCUCCUACAGAUCGUGUCUUGUACCCACAUCCUCCUCGCUCCGUGUCUGAUCAGGAAAUAAACCAUCUCAAAUAUAAAACAUUCAUAAAAAGUAACAGAGAAGUGUCAGUCAUACAGCGGACCUUGUCAACAGACUGUUGUCAUGGAGACAGGACGGACAUGCAGCGCUUUUCUUCUCAGUGCACAAACGCUUCGUAUCAGAGCAUACGGCCUGAAACAAAAAACCGCUAGGUGGACACGGGGCCUUGAUUAGAGUCUGACCAAUCAAUCGGCCAAUCAAUCAGAAUAUUUUCAUUUAGCAAAAUCAACGACCUUUCUGACUUUAUUCUCAAAAAAUGUAACUUCUUCUUGCGACUGAUUCUGCAUCUUUCUCUCCGAUAAUAAUAAUUGAAAAUGGGAGUUUGAUCCUCGUCUGAGUGGACGUCAGAUCGUUUCGCUGCUUCAGCUUCAGGUUUUAAGUCUGGACAAAAUAAAACAUGAAAUGUUAAAGGUUCAGUGUUUCUGUCCUGCAGCCAAAGGCCCGAUCUGAUCCUCGAGUCCAUCGCAGAUUUGAUUUUAACUCAUCUUCUGUCCUUCCGUUUAUCCGCCCGUCUGCUCGCUGAGAAUCUGUUCAGCACACAGAGACUCUGGUGAAUCCUUCAGCUUUGAGUUUGAAGGGUUAGGAGUUCCUCUGAGGGGAUUAAACCGCACGUAAACAACAAAACAAAGCUGUCUGUUCGCCUCGACCUUUUCUAACCCCGAGGAAACUUGCAGGGAGGAGGUGAGCUUCAUUAUCUCCUUGCCAAGCAGAUGGCCUCGUCUCAGGAGCACGAGGCGGUUUGUGUGUGUUUGUGUUUCUAACAAAGACUCGUCAGUCUCUUUAAGUUAUUUCAUCCAUCGACGGUAGAGACUCUUGUCUCUCAUCGUCUCUUGUCCUCAGCACAAAAUGGUCGACCUGAACGCUCGUCAAUGAUUUUGAAGAACGAGUCCGCAGCUUCCCACAACUCGAUGUGACACUUCAGUAGAUAUGGCUUUGUUUGGAAACUGUCUCAAACUGCAGAGAGUUAUAAAUCAGAGAAAAGAUUCAAACAGAUCACAUCACUGAAGUCUUGGUUUGUUUUUGUGGCUUUUCUUUUGUCAUGAAAAUUGUUGCCAAAUGAUUAAAUCUCAAAGAGUCUGUGGUUAAA